UACGUAGGUGGCGAGCGUUGUCCGGAAUUACUGGGCGUAAAGGGUGCGUAGGCGGAUAUUUAAGUCAGAUGUGAAAUUCCAAAGCUCAACUUUGGAAUUGCAUUUGAAACUGGGUAUCUAGAGUGCAGGAGAGGAAAGCGGAAUUCCUAGUGUAGCGGUGAAAUGCGUAGAUAUUAGGAAGAACACCAGUGGCGAAGGCGGCUUUCUGGACUGUAACUGACGCUGAGGCACGAAAGCGUGGGGAGCAAACAGGAUUAGAUACC
This 263-nucleotide ribosomal RNA is filed under the name uncultured bacterium. RNAcentral describes it as "partial 16S ribosomal RNA". It matches the Rfam family "Bacterial small subunit ribosomal RNA", at positions 524 to 786 of the family's 1533-position model. The record is from RNAcentral.